RNAcentral lists this transfer RNA (78 nucleotides) under Exutisphaerella laricina CBS 326.52. RNAcentral describes it as "tRNA-Phe (GAA) (tRNA-Phe-GAA-3-1)". The record is from RNAcentral. Lineage: Eukaryota; Fungi; Ascomycota; Dothideomycetes; Mycosphaerellales; Mycosphaerellaceae.
GGUCAUGUAGUGUAGUGGUUAUCGUAAGUUCUUUCGCCGAAGCCGAGGAGGUCCCCUGUUCGAUCCAGGGUAUGGCCA